This is a non-coding RNA of Cricetulus griseus (Chinese hamster), 2880 nucleotides long. The record is from RefSeq and is a predicted model, not a curated record. Lineage: Eukaryota; Metazoa; Chordata; Mammalia; Rodentia; Cricetidae.
CUCCCCACUCAUUUUUUAACUCUGUGUAAGUGCAUGGUUGUUACAAUAAAUCAAGACUCUUGUUUCCAUGAGUCUCCCCAGAUUCAGUGUGUCUUUAUCUCGGGUUACUAGGAGGGAGGUCUGGGUCAUCAACACUCACGAUCCUGCUCAGCUCCAGGAAGUGAAUGGCUGGAACCACCCCUCCAACAGCCCUGACUGCUGGAGGACCUGGCCGAGUGGCAUCUGAACCGGGACAUGUCUCUCUUGAACCGAAGAACCCUGAUAGGCCAGUCAGUCUUCGGUAAUUUGCUCUCAUAACACAGAAAACAAUAGUAGUCAAAGUCUCCCAUCUGUCCUUUGUUCUAUUGAGGACAUUUGAUUUCUGAUCCUUUACCCAGAAAAUGGUGUUGCCCAAAGAAAACUAUCUUCAAGAUAGAAACCCAAGAAUAUAAGACCAGAAAUCUUUCUGGAAUGUUCACAGGAACAUCUCCAUCAUCUCAAAACAUGCAUUUAUUUUUCCCUGAAUGAAUAUAUGAGUGUUCCAUAUAUGGGAAGAAUGAGUGGACAUAGAAAACGAUAUUAACAGGCAUGAUUUCCAGUAGCAAAGUCCAAGAUGCUACUUUAGUUUUUGGAUAAGGUGGUUCACAUGGAAACACCCAAACAAUCAUGGCUGAUUCCAAGAUAAAGAAUUGCUCUUCAUAAACUGACAUCAGGGCCAUAUGGCUGAGGACAACACCCAAACAACUCGUUGAACAUGAAGGAUUCCAACUGGUACCUACAUGGAAUUUUCACCAUGUGUCAUAGUGCCUAUGCUGCAGGAAGGUACUCUACAGGUUACCAGAAAAGAAAUGUGGGCACCAUCCCAGGAUACCAUAUAAAGAAUUUUCACUAGGAAGACAGCAUGUGGAGUCAGUCUUCUUCUGUCUCUGAAAGAGCACUGUGGACUGAUGGAGUUCUCUUGCUGAGUUUUGAUCCUGAGAAUUCACACAUCACUUCUCCUGCCCUCUCCUGGUCCUUCACAUCCAGCCACAGAGUGUGGCAACACUACUCCUCUGAAUUCUUAUGUUUUAAUAAAUGUUAGGUCAAAACAAAUGUAAACUUAAUGAAAUACUUAGUUAAAAUGUUUGUUUAAAGUUAUUUUUAAUUUAUUUGUUAUUUUUUAUGUUGGAACAUGCAGCUAUAGCUAUGCUCUAGAGAGAGCAGCAACUAUACCAGAGAAUACUCAUAAGCAUAUGGUACUGCUACUAUUGUUAAGAUUCCUUUUGCAACAUUUUAUGGUGGGUCUGUUUGUGUUCUGUUCAUAUAUCUAACAAUGUCAGUAAUGUCAAUUUGUUUCAAAAUGUUAGGAAUUAACUGUUAUAAAAAAGUGACAUGUUGGUAAUGAAAGGAGAAACAGCAGAUGGAAGUAAUAUCUAGGCAUAAAAGUAGGAGUUUCUCUUAGGGAGCAUUAACGGUAUAAAGUCCUACAAUUAAUUAUGACAUUUUCAUAAUGCAUAUCAUUUGCUUUGAGCACAACAUCUGAUGCACUCUGCCGUGUGCAUCAUGCCCUGUUCCUGAUCCUUUUCCUAAUGUUCUACUUCUGUUUGCGUGUCUUUUUAAGAAUCAAGAUUCUGCAAAUGGCAGAAAAGUUGGCACUUAUUCUGAAUCUGCCAUAUCUUUCUUAACAGUGGCUGAUUUCGUUCACAAAGAGUAUUUAAAACUGACUUUUGAGUAGGAAUAAAAAAGUGGCUGAGGUGCCCGUCUGGUAUCCGAAGUGUCCAGUGUUCAUGAUGUCGGCCUCGGUAGUGUCGGUCAUCUCGUGGUUCCUAGAGGAGUACUUGAGCUCCACUCCUCAGCAGCUGAAGUUGCUGGAUGCCUAUCUCCUUUAUAUACUGCUGACAGGCACUGCAAUUUGUCUACUGUCUCCUCGUGGGCACCUUUGUGGGGGACCGAAUAUUGGGUCCUAGGUUCUGGCCACCAUAAACAGCGGUGGUGCCAGGAAACUCCGCCCACUAUUGUAUUGUUAAUGUCAGCAGGGAUACUUUUGUUUACCAUGGCCUCAGGAUAAUAUGCCUCCUUAUUUGCAUAUCUAUGCACCUAAGCAUCUGUAUAGGCCUGCAUCUGGGCAGGGAGAGGAGAGGUAUGUGAGUAACAUAUGAACACAGAAGGUUAGGAGCAAAGAGGGCGAGCGAUGAGAGGAGAGAGGAGAACAAAGAGAGAAAUGGUUGACUUAUAGUAUUAGCAAGAUGGUUAAGAGAAACCAGAAAAGAUGGCUAAUAAAGAAAUGACUCUAGUUCCACAACAUGGAACUGAGAGCUCUCUGAAGAUGACAAGAUGCCUGUGUUUGGUCUUUAUUGGGUUCCUCGAAGCUUCCAGGUCCACACACCCUCACUCAGGUAGAACACCAUGGAGUAAGGCUGAGACAUGCUGGGUCACGACACACCUUCCCCUUCAACUCUUUCCUCUCCGGCUUCAUCUUCUGUGUGGACAGCUUCAUUCUAGCAGUUUGCUUGAGAAUACUGAUCAAACUCCAGACAAAGGCAGAUUUCCAAGGCAUCUCUCCAGAUCCAGCCUUUGCUGAUUUCCUCUUUGCCAGCACUAUCCUGCACCUUGUCUUCACGAACUUCGUUGGCUGAACUGCUCCCAUUUCCUUUGUCGUGGAUUUGGAGAUUGGCAGAAUGUUCACUCUUUGACAUCCCCUGGAUAAGAAUUCUUGAGAUGACAGCGUGUUGAACAUUGAUGAUUCAGAUCUGAGCUUUGCUGUGGCCCUGACUGGGUAUGAAAUGGGGAGUCCAGAGACCUCCCUUUGCUUUGUCAGACCAGCUUCACAAUGUGUGUCUGUUAACACAGAAUCUGCCUUCUGCAAAUGUAACCCCUACUCUCCAAAUUAAACAGUUUCUCUGCUGUUUCUCAAAAAAAAAA